This 209-nucleotide long non-coding RNA is filed under the name Elaeis guineensis (African oil palm). RNAcentral's name for it is "long non-coding RNA (EGUI_LNC050160)". Lineage: Eukaryota; Viridiplantae; Streptophyta; Magnoliopsida; Arecales; Arecaceae. The record is from RNAcentral.
UCUAUGGAUAUUUUACUGCCAUGAUGAGAACACCUCCUAAUUGGCCUUAUCUUUUUGAAACUUUGAGGGACAUACCCAAGUUAAUUAUAAGUGAGACUCUCUCAUAACAUCCGACUGAAGAUAUUAAACUUAGUACUUAUUGGGAAGUAAUCCAAUUUCUUAAAAUAGUCUUAAUAAAAGUCUAGUUGAAAACUUUAAACUCAGCACUC